Neofelis nebulosa (Clouded leopard) is the source of this 2708-nucleotide RNA transcript. It is a transcript of the gene named transmembrane protein 150B, with no coding region annotated. The transcript is spliced from 8 exons. The record is from RefSeq and is a predicted model, not a curated record. Lineage: Eukaryota; Metazoa; Chordata; Mammalia; Carnivora; Felidae.
AAAGAGAACACGGGCAGGGGAGGGGCAGAGGGAGAGAGAGAGAAAGAGACAGACAGAGGACCUGAAGUGGCCUCUGAGCUGUGGGCACAGAGCCCGAUGUGGGGCUCGAACUCACAAACUGUGAGCUCAUGACCUGAGCUGAAGUCCGACUCUUAACCGACUGAGCCGCCCAAGUGCCCCUACAAGUGCAUGUAUUCUAGAAGGGACUGGGGGCCUGCACGACUGGGUCUUUGAGGGAGGAAGGGUGGGGAGCGCUGCAGGCUCAGAUUGUGGGUCCUGGGAAGGACAAGGGCUGGGCUCUUGGACGGUGAACUGCUGAAAGCUGGAGGAAGGAAGUUGGGGGCCUCUCGAAGCUAACUAAGGUGGUGCCUGCUAGGUUCUGCGUGGGGAAGUGGCAGUUUGGGGGUGAGGUCCCGGAGAAAGUGGUGGUGAGACCGUCAGACUCCUGACCUGACACUGUCCUGCAGCCUCCCAGGCUGGACUUUGGCUCUGCCACAGCACCACCCAGCUCCACGCCCAUCCCCUGCUCCCUUUUCAACCUCUCCCACAGCCCCCAGGCCCAGGACUCGGGAGUGCCAGAGGGAGGAGGUUCAGGACAGGGCAGGUUCCUCACCGGAGAAAGAGAAAGAGAAAGAGAGAGGUUCGUGGCUCUCUACUUGCCCUGCAGAGCCCGGCAUGUGGGGCUACCUGUCCCUGCUGCCUGCUUUCCUGGCCGUCUGGGCUAUCACUGGAGUCUGGACUGUUUUUGCCCUUGCAGUGGCCAACAGGGCUGUGAACCUCACCGAGGGUUUCCCCUAUAUCAGAGCUGCAUCUUCAGCCAGCUGCUCAACAUGGGAGCUGCUAUGGGAGUCCGGGUCCGGGGCUCCCGCCCACUUCCCUCUCCUCCCAGCUGCCUGGAUCUGCAUUAUCCGUUACCACCAGCUCCGGGACUUGGGGGUCGGAAAGUGGCUUAACCUGCUGAUCCUGUGGACUGGACUCCUGUGUGCCCUGGGCACCUCCGUGGUGGGCAAUUUCCAGCAAAAGAACCAGCUGCCCACGCACCUGACAGGGGCCUUCUUUGCCUUCUUCGUGGGCAACCUGUACUUCUGGAUGCAGCAUUUACUCUUCUGGUGGAUGAAGAGCCUGCCCCAGCCUGGGCCUCCCUGGAUCGGGCCACUCCGCCUGGGCCUCUGCAGCCUUUGCACCAUCCUCAUGGUGACCAUGGUCAUCCUCCACUCCUGGCUGCUGCGCUCGGCCUCCGCCGCCUGCGAGUGGGCCGUGGCCAUGCUGCUGUUCACGCUCUUUGGCCUGUUUGCUGUGGACUUCUCCGGCCUGGACGGCUGCACCCUGACUCUCCGGCCGGGCUCCAGCCUCAGCUCCCCACCCGCCUCCCCACUCUCCCUGCAGAUCCCCCUGUGAACGGCAGUCCGCUCGGUGUGGUCUGACCCCGGUGCUGCGAUCGAUCGCGGCCACCCGGGAAGUGAGAGGCCAAGGCCAGCCAGCCAUCCCUGCUCAAGGCUAUUUAUUAUUAUUAUUAUUAAUUUUUUUUUUUUUUUUUUUUUUUUUUUGCCGCCGGCGGAAUCAGAGACACGGACGCAGGCAGGGUCACGCGAAACCAGAAUUCCUUCCGGAGAGCAAAUCCGUACAGAAGGAGGAAGCAGUCUGGCCUCAGUACCCUCACGGCUGCCAACCCCCAAGGAACAUGCUCCGGCAGCCGCACGGGGCUGGAAGCCUGGGGAGACGGUUGCCGGGAGGACACAUCUGCAGCCGGACCUGGCGAUCUCAGGAAGGCAGGUCACACAUCCUGGGCCCCUCCAAGCUGUGUGACUGUGGGAACUGGGCCAAAUGAGUCCCGGUGAGAGCCGGCGGCCCACCCUCAGGAGGCGUCCUCACAGACUCUGGCUAGGACGCUAUUCGCUAAGGGACAGCCUGUCGCAGCAGCAGCAGCAGCUCAGAUUUGGGGAUGACAGCCAGAGGUCCCCUUUCCUUCCUCCCAACCCUGGUUGUUAGGGAGGACGCUCCUUGGCAAUAGGGCCCGGGGGAGCCUACAUGGGCCAUUUGGGGGUCUGAACAAACCCGGAUGGUAGAUUCCCCUUCUCCAGAACACACUUCCAGAACUUCUGUCAGCAGAAAGUUCCACUACGCCCGACAAUGAGACUACUCAUCCUCUUGGGGACCCCUGGAGGUGCCCUCCCUAGCAACGAGGCCUUCUCGGUCAGGAUGGCCAGGUUCCCUGGAUGGAGCUCGCACAAACCGGAGCCCUGGGGGGCACUCGUUCAGCAGGGGGUCUCCCCUCCAGCCCACAGGAUCAAAGAGGGAGACAUUGCAGCCCCCACCCCCCCACACCUGCCAGGGCCUGCACGGAGGGCUGGUCGUGAGUACUCAGCAGCUGUGCCUGGAUGGUCUCCACAACUCGCUUGAACCGACGGCUGGGACCUGGAAGGGGUAUGGAGACAGACUGACUUGGGGACCGACCGGGACAAGGAAGGCCCUCCCACCCUGUGAAACCCAGCAAAGGACUCCUCUCGGUCUCAACUUCCCCGCCCUGUGUUGGGCAUAAAACUAAACUUCGGUCUGCAAAGGGGACUAAGAAAGGUCUGAGUUGAAAUAAUGAUGGGUGCCGUUUUCCACUUAAAUAGGUCCUGUUCCUUGUUAGUUUCAAGGUGAGGUCAUGUAGAGCCAGAAAUGCAAGAAAAGAAACGGGAAGUAAAAUAAAAUCUUAAAAUCGA